Molecule: non-coding RNA, 92 nt
Filed under: Gordonia malaquae
Lineage: Bacteria; Bacillati; Actinomycetota; Actinomycetes; Mycobacteriales; Gordoniaceae
Also listed under: 1 other name
Description: SAM-I sequence
Rfam family: SAM riboswitch aptamer (S box leader)
About the family: The SAM riboswitch is found upstream of a number of genes which code for proteins involved in methionine or cysteine biosynthesis in Gram-positive bacteria. The SAM riboswitch acts at the level of transcription termination control. The predicted structure consists of a complex stem-loop region followed by a single stem loop terminator region.
Source: RNAcentral
AAUUCAUCACGAGCGGCUGAGAGACUGGCUCUUUGACGCCGCAGCAACCGGUGGGACCACCCACUAGGUGCUAAUGCCAGAGACGAUGAACG